Molecule: small RNA, 966 nt
Filed under: Histoplasma capsulatum
Lineage: Eukaryota; Fungi; Ascomycota; Eurotiomycetes; Onygenales; Ajellomycetaceae
Also listed under: 1 other name
Description: hypothetical RNA
Source: RNAcentral
AAGGCCUCGGUUUAACUCAAUUGCAGACUCUGAUAUAAUUUCCUCUAGUUCGUCGUUGAAUUGUUUUGAAGCACAAACAUUCUGCGAGUAUGACCGCCAUUCAUCUGCUGCAAUUUUAAAGCUAUCCUGUAACUCUGCAGCUCCAUGGAUUGUGAACGAAAGGGUGUUCUUGGUCCGAAGCAAUAAUUCUACGAGCCCUAGUCGCAUGUUCGAGCUCCGCGGUCUCCAGAACUUAUGCUCCGGGAAACGGACAGAAAUGUUAAGACACUUGAUGGCGCGAGAUCCGAAUCUCCGGAUUAGAUGGCACAGAUGGUUAUAGCGACCCUCAUUGUAUGCAAAGAGGAUAUCUUUACGGACUUCAGCUCUCUCCCCUGCAUCCCACAUCCGCUCCUCCACUAAUUCCGACCUCUGGGUAAUUUUCACGUCUGCGACAAGUCUUUGCCUCACUCUUUCGGCCAAAAACCCAUUGACGGAAAUAUUCGGCUGGGAAUAACGUCUGUUAUCCCCAAGCUGGUAUAUAUGAUAGCUAUCAUAUUGCGAUACGGUGAUAGGUCCUAUCUGGAAGUGAAUCCACACGUUCUUGUGCAGCACUACAUGUAAUGCUUCCUCACGAAUCUGUCUAUUAAGCUGCAGAAUCUGAAGACAUAGCACUUUGUCCAGAGGCUUGUUUAGAUCAUCGGAGGCAUCCAUGCUUGGGUCCACUACGAGUAAGAACGAAUAAAUCUCGUAUCGCAAUUCGAUUGGUAAGGAUAGAAAUCCUCUCCGGAGUCGGAAACGUGCUUCGGUAGAUUGGGCGAGAGGAGGACCGGUUUCUAUGUUAGAGGAGUCGGUUAACGAAAAGGAUGAUGAUAAGAACCUCUGAGAUACCAGCAUACGCUUUCUAGCGGUGUUGCUUGAUGAACUUGGAACUUGCAGAGGCUCCAUUCCAUAUUGUACAACCGGGGUUUCCAGCGGUGUUUGCGGGAG